This is a long non-coding RNA of Ictalurus furcatus (blue catfish), 2967 nucleotides long. RefSeq lists it as uncharacterized. The transcript is spliced from 2 exons. The record is from RefSeq and is a predicted model, not a curated record. Lineage: Eukaryota; Metazoa; Chordata; Actinopteri; Siluriformes; Ictaluridae.
AGGCUCUAGUCUACAGACGGGCUUCAUACACGCCUCCCAGACACCCGCGUGGCCUCCUAUUGUUGCUGAGGCUGCUUAACCGAGCCGAAGAGCUCCAGGCCCGGGCCAAGGCACAAUGCAGAGCAGGGGGGUAGCCUGGAUCUCUAGGCUGCUGUGGAGAGAGGAGAGAACGGGGAAACACUUAGCUAGAGCUCCCUUCUCCGAUUCGGAGUGCCUCUCUCAUCUCUAUCCCUCCACAAUGAAGACGAUAUUGCAGGAAAAUGACCUUUCUGAGAUGGAAAGAGGCCUGUAGGAAGUCGAACCUGAGUAUCCGAAACACUUUUAGAGCCUUGAGGGUUAGAUUUCUGGUUUUCUGAAGCUUGAUCCUGUCCUACACACUCUGACAAGGAUUUCUACACAGGUGAGUGGCACGUGCGCGCUAUUUUACUUGAAAAUAAACAACCAACAUUUUUGCUGUAGAAAAAAUACAACGUUAAAAUGUCUUAAUGUUUGCAGAAAGAAAUGUUUGGUCCCUAUUACUUUUCUUUUUUUUUCUUUUUUUUUUGGCCACGUUUAAGGGGACUCUAAAUACUAAAGUAAAAUUCCUUGGAAAAAUAUGGUGUUAUUUAUUUCCUCACGUACACAUACACCAAGUUGUCCGUUUGCCGUUUUGAACAGUUUCAGCUUUGGGUGCAAUCCAGCACACUUUAGUGAUUUUCCUACUAAAUCUGGUAAUGAACCAAAGAAUCAGGUUUGUUUGGGCAGCGAAAUCAACAAACUGUGAUAGAAAUACAACUUUCAGCCAGCUUUCAAGGAAGUUUUUAUCCAUUGAAAGUUUGAAGCACAACUUAUUAUGAAAUAAACAGAAAGAUUUGGGGGAAAAAAAUGACAUUUGCUCUUUUCAAAUGUGUGUAAGAGUCUUUUUUCUGCAUGUGGCUUUUACAACCAGUUAGAGUCUCUGUAUUUGACUCCACAGUACAACAGUACAUACGCAUUCGUUUUUGUAAAGCACAUUAUGACUGGAAUUAUUAAAUCUAUUUAGUGUGUUACGAAACCGUUCUUUAAACCGUUCUAAAAACAUUUCUUGACAAAAUAUGGAAAAAGAAAUGCAACACUGAAACACAAAACAGUGAUAAUAAUGAAUAUGGAGAGAAUUAUUCUCAUAUCAGGUGAGGUGGCAAAUUGUCUGCACAUAACGACUACACAGCUCUGUAUGCUUCCAUAAAAAUCAGUUUGAUCAGUUGUUGAUUGCGCUGUAAGUUUCUUGUCAUCCAUAACUUUUUUUUUUUUUGUUCUUGUUGCAUUGUUACUUUGUGAUUUUUUUUUUUUCAUUCCCGAAGGGUCCGAGCAACACCAUGAUGCCAGCUGGAAAUCCUGCAGAUAAUUGUGACACAUGUCCAUAAGCGUAGGUGUAAAUCCCUUCAUGGUAAAUAAGCUAAAUAUUCAGUAUAGGUAGUAUAUUAAUAUCGCUGGCCAAACACGGCAUUGUAUAAUUACAUGCUUAAAUGAUGUAUAUAAAUAAUAAAUAUAAAACAAUUUUUUUUAAAAAUGGCAUAUAAACAAUAAGGAUGAAAAGAUGACAGACAAUUAAAGUCAGACUUUUUUUUUUCAGGAAACAUUUAAUUUAUUUUUUUUAUAGUUGAAUAGCCACAACAACAACAACAACAAAAAAGCUCUAACUGAAGCUUUUUCUUAAUUUAUAUUACAUUUAUGAAAACAAAAAUCAAAACGGUCCAUUUUCAGCUUCCUGGUUCUUAUAGUGGAGCUUUACAAGACACAAGCUGGUUCAUAGGAAGAUAUCUACUAAAUGCUCUCAAUGCAAAAAAAAAAACCCAAAAAAACAAACAGUUACUGUUAAUACACUUACCUAACAAUACUGGAGUGCAAAAUAAGUGUUUGAUCAUGACAAAGAGCUUAUCACUUUUCUACUGAAACCAGUUUUGGCAAAAAAAAUUUAUAAUGUUGAACAGGCCUUGUCUUUUUUCUUCGUCAUUGUACUCACCCCCACAGACUACAUCCACUCAAACAUAUUCUCUUUUAUUGCACAGUAGUGGUUGAUUUUUCAAAAACUUGAAAGCAUUUUUUUUUAUUAUUGUUUAGUUAGUUAUUUAUUUUUAAAGAAUGUUCACUAAACCCUCACUACAAUACAUAUUGUCACUGUUUAAAAGAAUAUAAACAGGUCCCUUCCUCUCACGUCCAUUUCUAUGCCUAAGGCAUUGGAAAAAUGACUGACCUUCUGGAGAGUCUCAGUGAACAUUGUGAACAUUAGCCAGCGUUGUGUAGAUGAAUAUAAGAGUGCUGUGGUUUGGGAGACUGGGAAUGAAGGACUAGACAGGGCUGGCAAGAAAAAAGAUGGAGUGAAGUGAAUUAGCAUUUUCUUAUUAGGCAGCUUCAUUUUUAGUUGACUGACUCGUAUUGCAAGCUUUGCAGUGUCCUGGACCCUUUUGGCUCCACCCUCCACUCCUUGACCUUGGAUAAGUGCCAUAAACUGUUGUUUUCCACUUGUGUCGAAGUAGUGGCAAGGGUAUGCGGUACUUCUGAAACCUUCACUACUUGUCUACCCUGCCCUUUGUCAUCGUCGCACCCCCCCCCCCCACCCCACCCAACCCAGAUGCUUUGGCUAGAAACACAACCUGCUUUUGCAUAAGGCACUGAGGCUGUGGCUCUGCUACCCCAUCACUGCUGUAUGAUAUCUCCUCUGGAAUUCUGCGCAUGCCAAGCAUUCGGUUACUCAGACAGAUGGUGGAAACAUCUUAAAGACACCUCUGAUAUCUGUUCAUCUAGAGAAAUGCAUCUAAACAUGUAUGGUUCAUGGAAAAAUUUUCAUGGAUAAAUAUACACAUUUAAUUUCAUAUUAUUAGCAAUUAUUGUUUUGCUUUGUUUUUACCUAAAGGUGUACUGGAAGCUCUAUUUCAGUAUAGGACCAUUUGCAUCCAAAAGGGUUUUAACGAGUUGAAAAGUACAAAUAAACCGUUUAAAAAAAAAAAA